CAAAAGGUUCUCUUCAGAACCAAAUUUUUUUUUUUUAAAUUUUCU
This is a non-coding RNA of Stegodyphus mimosarum, 45 nucleotides long. The record is from Rfam. NCBI's taxonomy places the organism in Eukaryota, Metazoa, Arthropoda, Arachnida, Araneae, Eresidae.